Small nuclear RNA from Vombatus ursinus (common wombat), 107 nucleotides. NCBI's taxonomy places the organism in Eukaryota, Metazoa, Chordata, Mammalia, Diprotodontia, Vombatidae. The record is from Ensembl.
GUGCUGUCUUAGAUAGCUCAUAUACUAAAAUUGGAAUGCUACAAAGAAGAUUAGCAUGGCCCCUGCACAAGGAUGGCACACAUAUUCGUGAAGCAUUCCAUAUUUUU